Ornithodoros turicata is the source of this 297-nucleotide long non-coding RNA. RefSeq lists it as uncharacterized. The transcript has 3 exons. NCBI's taxonomy places the organism in Eukaryota, Metazoa, Arthropoda, Arachnida, Ixodida, Argasidae. The record is from RefSeq and is a predicted model, not a curated record.
GCCGAAUCUCUCACAGCAACCCAACGCUGUAACCUUGUUGGCGAACUUUCAGAACUUGGCGGAAAAGAUGUUAACUCUACAGUUCGCAGCAUCCUGAGCUACCUGAUGACGGACGAAGUGGCGCAAAAGUACAAUUGGGAAGGCCGUGGCAAGAAGAGCAGUUUCUCGAAGUUGAAUCUUCUGGGUGUCAUAUACUCAACUACAACGGGUAAUCGUAGGAUCCAGGGAGCAACCAAACAUGAUGUCAAGAGUGCAAUUGCAAGUUGGCUGCGGCAUACUAAGGAAAGAAGUGAAAAA